RNAcentral lists this ribosomal RNA (468 nucleotides) under uncultured bacterium. RNAcentral's name for it is "partial 16S ribosomal RNA". It matches the Rfam family "Bacterial small subunit ribosomal RNA", at positions 28 to 507 of the family's 1533-position model. The record is from RNAcentral.
GACGAACGCUGGCGGCGGGCUUAACACAUGCAAGUCGAACGGAAAGGCCCUGCUUUUUUGCGGUGCUCGAGUGGCGAACGGGUGAGUAACACGUGAGUAACCUGCCCUUGUCUUUGGUAUAACUUCAGGAAACUGGGGCUAAGCCCGGAUAGGAUCGCCUGCGGCAUGGUGUGGGUUGGAAAUUUUCGGCUGUUGGGGAUGGACGCGCGGCUGAUCAGCUUGUUGGUUGGUGGGUGGCUUACCAAGGCUUUGACGGGUAGCCGGCCUGAGAGGGUGACCGGCCACAUUGGGACUGAGAUACGGCCCAGACUCCUACGGGAGGCAGCAGUGGGGAAUAUUGCACAAUGGGCGGAAGCCUGAUGCAGCAACGCCGCGUGCGGGAUGACGGCCUUCGGGUUGUAAACCGCUUUCGCCUGUGACGAAGCGUGAGUGACGGUAAUGGGUAAAGAAGCACCGGCUAACUACGUG